CGUAGGGUGCGAGCGUUAAUCGGAAUUACUGGGCGUAAAGCGUGCGCAGGCGGUGAUGUAAGACAGGUGUGAAAUCCCCGGGCUUAACCUGGGAACUGCAUUUGUGACUGCAUCGCCGGAGUGCGGCAGAGGGGGAUGGAAUUCCGCGUGUAGCAGUGAAAUGCGUAGAUAUGCGGAGGAACACCGAUGGCGAAGGCAAUCCCCUGGGCCUGCACUGACGCUCAUGCACGAAAGCGUGGGGAGCAAACAGGAUUAGAUACCCUGGUAGUCCACGCCCUAAACGAUGUCAACUGGUUGUUGGUCCUUCACUGGAUCAGUAACGAAGCUAACGCGUGAAGUUGACCGCCUGGGGAGUACGGCCGCAAGGUUG
This 370-nucleotide ribosomal RNA is filed under the name uncultured organism. RNAcentral describes it as "bacterial SSU rRNA". It matches the Rfam family "Bacterial small subunit ribosomal RNA", at positions 526 to 896 of the family's 1533-position model. The record is from RNAcentral.